UGAUUUAGAUCUAUAAUAUAAGCUGGUACAACAGACACAUAACACGCUGCAUACAGUCGUUGUUGAGACCGCAUAAAGAAACCUACAGCCUUCAGACAUCCACCAAUGUAUUCCAGCAGCAUGUUGCGAUCUAUACUAUUGAUACUUUGUCUCACGUACCCGGUCAGUUCGAAGGUCAGUUCGGAUAUCAGUUCGGAGGAGGACACAUGGAAGUUUGGGGGAUGUAUCAGUUCAGAUUCGGAUUGUGCCAUCCAAAAUUGUCAUAGUUGUCCAGAGGAUACAUAUGCUGUUGGGUGUUUGGAAAGUACAACUUGUACCGGGGGAACCCUCGAGUGCAGUUGUUAUAUGUUACACGGUAUAGAAAUUUAAACCAAACCAGAGUGAGGAGUCUACGGCAUCAAACCAGAAAUCUAAUUAAAAAAAUAAUUUCCAAAAUUAAAUAUUUCAUCGCGUGAUGCAGCGAUCACUUGUAAAUUAAAACAUAAAUAAACUGGGUUAAAUAUUAAA
This is a long non-coding RNA of Physella acuta, 507 nucleotides long. RefSeq lists it as uncharacterized. Lineage: Eukaryota; Metazoa; Mollusca; Gastropoda; Physidae. The record is from RefSeq and is a predicted model, not a curated record.